Molecule: ribosomal RNA, 491 nt
Filed under: uncultured bacterium
Lineage: Bacteria
Description: partial 16S ribosomal RNA
Rfam family: Bacterial small subunit ribosomal RNA
Source: RNAcentral
GUGAACGCUGGCGGUAGGCCUAACACAUGCCAGUCGAACGGCAGCACAGUAAGAGCUUGCUCUUACGGGUGGCGAGUGGCGGACGGGUGAGGAAUACAUCGGAAUCUACUUUUUCGUGGGGGAUAACGUAGGGAAACUUACGCUAAUACCGCAUACGACCUACGGGUGAAAGCAGGGGAUCUUCGGACCUUGCGCGAUUGAAUGAGCCGAUGUCGGAUUAGCUAGUUGGCGGGGUAAAGGCCCACCAAGGCGACGAUCCGUAGCUGGUCUGAGAGGAUGAUCAGCCACACUGGAACUGAGACACGGUCCAGGCUCCUACGGGAGGCAGCAGUGGGGAAUAUUGGACAAUGGGCGCAAGCCUGAUCCAGCCAUACCGCGUGGGUGAAGAAGGCCUUCGGGUUGUAAAGCCCUUUUGUUGGGAAAGAAAAGCAGCAGGUUAAUACCCCGCUGUUCUGACGGUACCCAAAGAAUAAGCACCGGCUAACUUCGUG